Molecule: long non-coding RNA, 1537 nt
Organism: Cygnus olor (mute swan)
Lineage: Eukaryota; Metazoa; Chordata; Aves; Anseriformes; Anatidae
Exons: 4
Source: RefSeq, a predicted model, not a curated record
CAGAUGUAGGGUAUGGAGAGGAGAGAGUGCCUUGCAGACUGCAGGGAUCCCUUUCUGGGCUGACCUUGGGUGAGGAGCAGUGAUGGGAGAAGGAGGGAAAGGAUUUGUUCCAGCUCUGUGCUUGCACAUCUUAGAAAAUAUAUUGUGUGAGGUGGCCAGAGAUUUUUCCAAGGGUGUUUAAAGGGACAGCCUGAUCAGAUUUGAGGAAAAUCCACAGGAGUGAAGUUGGAACCAAUUAAUUGCAUCUGAUUUUACUAUAUAUGUAACACCCAGCAGUGUAACUCCAGUAGUUUUGUGAGCUUUGAUGGAAGGUUUGUGCCUUUACGUGAAGCUCAUAUCCGAAUUAAAAACUUUUCCAAUUGCACACUAUGAAAAGGCUCCUAAGGGGAUGGGGAGCAAUUCCAUCUCGAUGGUGGUUGCAAGCAGCUAUCUAUUUUAAGUAUGGAAAGAAAGGAAAAAAAAAAAGAAAAAAAAAAAGAAGAAGUAAGUCUUAAGAAUUCUUCUGCAUCACCUAAGAGACAGGAAGCUAUUUUCUAAUUCUCGUUCUGUAUUCCCCCCUUCAUAAGUAUGUUUAAGAACAAUACCUUCUGUAACAAAAAUACAGUGGAAAAACAGUUACUUUGUUACUAGGAGUUAAAAGGUCAUUUCCCCUUGAUGAAAAGCUUGUUCUAUCAGAUAAGUAGCUGCUACACUCCAUAACACUGGCAACCCUUCAAAAGGUUUCAGAAAUUAAAGGCAUUGUUUGAAGAUAAAGGUGAUAAGGUCAUUUGCCUUGUGUUUAGUCCUGCAAACCUUUCUGGGUAACCCUCUGAUAUUCAAAUGAAGAGUGCUUUAAAUAGUGUUAUCUUCAUAUAGCUAAUGAGUGCUGGCUGACAAUCACCUCUAAAACUAGCUGAAACUCUACUGGAAUUAAAUGUUGUAAAAUAUUGCAACAUAUUUUCAUUAAGAGGGAGUGCCUCCACAGAGUUUGCUGAGGCUAUAUCCGUAAUCACUGAUAGGACUACACUUUGGUCCUAUGGCUUUUCUUGGGUUUUGUUUGUUUUUUUGUUUGUUUGUUUGUUUUAACUCUGUUUUUACUAGUUGCAUAGCGUCUAACAUGAUUUUCAAUAUAUCGCUGCAGUGGAUUAAUAAAGCUGCAUAAAGAAACUAUAUAUGUAAAAUCUAUGUCCUCUACGGACCCUAUGCUGGAAUGAAACAAGCUUUACAAUUAAUGUAUACAGUAGGAGAAAAAUUACUCGUGAACUUUUUACUGCCAGAGACUAUAUAGCUGUGUAUUAUUAUAUGUGUAAUUAACUAAUCUAUAAUAGUGCUCUGAUGUACAGUGUGUAUACUUCUUUCCUUAGAGGAAUAGAUCCUGAUUUUAAAGCUUUUUCUUCUUUUAUGAUUCAUUUCAUAUAUUCCAUUUAUGGGAAAACAUUAUGAUUCUUCUUUAAAUCUCCUGAAAUUUUCUAGUAAGAAGUAGGAAUCUUCAGAGGUUUGCAAUUUCUCUGUUUAAGAUAAUAAUAAUAAUAACAACAACAACGACAAUAACAAUAAA